Non-coding RNA from Pelobates cultripes (western spadefoot toad), 412 nucleotides. Lineage: Eukaryota; Metazoa; Chordata; Amphibia; Anura; Pelobatidae. The record is from the annotation of a GenBank genome assembly.
UUGUCCACGUUGGCCGUGGACAGGCGGCUGCACUUGUCUGUGAUAACCUUGUGCUGAUCGCAUGUCCCCGUGACGGCGACAACGCAUUCGGAUGUCUGCCCUAUCAACUUUAGAUGCUAUUUUCCACGCCUACCAUGGUGACCACAGGUAACGGGAAAAUCAGGGUUUGAUUCCAGAAAGGGAGCCUGAGAAAUGGCUACCACAUGCAAGGAAGGCAGCAGGCGCGCAAAUUACCCACUCCCGAUGCGGGGAGGUAGUGACGACAAAUAACAAUACACUACUCUUUCGAGGCCCUGUAAUUGUAAUGAGUCCACUUUAAAUCCUUUAACUUGGAUCAAUUGGAGGGCAAGUCUGGUGCAGGGCUCCUGACCCGUGCGUGUUGCAACUGAAACUCCACUAUCACCAGCUGCUG